This 20-nucleotide ribosomal RNA is filed under the name Nephrotoma altissima. RNAcentral describes it as "partial 28S ribosomal RNA". Lineage: Eukaryota; Metazoa; Arthropoda; Insecta; Diptera; Tipulidae. The record is from RNAcentral.
GACUUCAACUCAUAUGUGAU